AUGGCGAAGGAGCAGGACCAGAAGGCCCACUCCCAGGCCGAGAAAGGACUGCCGAGCGUGCGGGAACAGCGCCAGGUGCGGGAUGUGCUGGGAGGGAGAGGGAUGCCAGGGCAACCUAAACACCGAGGCAGGGGGCACAGCAGCGGGUGGGGUGCCAUGGCGGGCCCUGAGCACCUGUGGCCAGGGCACCGCUCCUCCUGCCCCGGGGCGUUUUCUGGGCACCAGCCGACUCCCAGGACAGCUCUGUGCCCCGAGGCAGAGAGCAGUAGGACCCAGCUCAGCAGGGCUGUCUGUGUCCGGGAACAGCCUCCUCAUGGGGGCUUUGCCAGGGACGCUGGUGGUAAUGCAGCCACCUGCAACCCAGGCCUCCUUCUCCCUACACAGGUGGGCCGCAGGCCGCAGCAAGCUGUGCUGCCAGGCAGACAGAGCCAGGAUUUGGCUGUCCGUGGGAUCCAACUGCCACCACUGCCCCACCCAGCACAAGCCUCUGGGAGCCGCCGUGCACAGGCGGACAGAAUGGAAGGGAGACGGCCUCUGCCAGCCUUGCCACCUCUCCCACGGCGGGCGCAGUCACUGCCAGCUGCGCCCCGGAAUGCAGCCACUGCUCGGGGACGAGUUCACGCAUUCUCACUGCCAGCAAUAGCUUUCGGGAGUAUCCCAAGAGGCAGAGCUGCCCCUGGUCUUCAGUACCAGGACAUGGCAGCAAGGGUUGAGGGCUGGCAGGAAGAUCUGUCUGUCCGUGCAAUCCCCCUCAAGCCUGCAGAGAGGACACCCAAGUCCCUCAGGUUGGCAUACUGGGUGCGUCUGGGAGCCACACGACCAGGACCCUGGCUGAAGCGAACACGGCCUGGGCGAUGUGCACCCACCAGCACUGUAAGAACACCGGCACGAAGAACCCAGGUGCUGGCCCCCAAGGCUGGGAAAGUCACCUGAGAAUGAGACGCAACGUGCUGCCAGUGCUCAGGAGGACAGCGGAGAUGCUCACAGGGUCUCUACAUCACGCUCCCUGGCAGCAGAGCAGGCAGCAGAGAAGGAAGCAGAGCAGGCAGCAGAGCAGGCAGCAGUGCAGGCAGCAGAGAAGGAAGCAGAGCAGGCAGCAGAGCAGGCAGCAGACGAUGGUGCCAAAG
This 1127-nucleotide long non-coding RNA is filed under the name Coturnix japonica (Japanese quail). RNAcentral describes it as "lncRNA (ENSCJPG00005003745.1)". Lineage: Eukaryota; Metazoa; Chordata; Aves; Galliformes; Phasianidae. The record is from RNAcentral.